This 460-nucleotide ribosomal RNA is filed under the name uncultured bacterium. RNAcentral describes it as "partial 16S ribosomal RNA". It matches the Rfam family "Bacterial small subunit ribosomal RNA", at positions 338 to 795 of the family's 1533-position model. The record is from RNAcentral.
CCUACGGGAGGCUGCAGUGAGGAAUAUUGGUCAAUGGACGAGAGUCUGAACCAGCCAAGUAGCGUGAAGGAUGACUGCCCUACGGGUUGUAAACUUCUUUUAUAUAGGAAUAAAAUGUUGCACGUGUGGCUUUUUGUAUGUACCUUAUGAAUAAGGAUCGGCUAACUCCGUGCCAGCAGCCGCGGUAAUACGGAGGAUCCGAGCGUUAUCCGGAUUUAUUGGGUUUAAAGGGAGCGUAGAUGGGUUGUUAAGUCAGUUGUGAAAGUUUGCGGCUCAACCGUAAAAUUGCAGUUGAUACUGUCAGUCUUGAGUACAGUUGAGGUAGGCGGAAUUCGUGGUGUAGCGGUGAAAUGCUUAGAUAUCACGAAGAACUCCGAUUGCGAAGGCAGCUUACUAAACUGCCACUGACACUGAGGCUCGAAAGUGUGGGUAUCAAACAGGAUUAGAUACCCGUGUAGUC